CAGGGAUGCAGCAAGGCUUUAAAGGGACAGGCUUCGGAUGCAUGGGAUGCUUUUGUUACAGCACAUGGCGAGAAGAAGACGGGCUGUCAUCUCCAGCGAAGCAUCCUCCGAAGCGCAUCAGCAAAGACACGUGUUCACAAAACCAUUGUGAGAAGCGUUGACAUCAUCCGCUGGUGGUGUAUUUGUAACUACAGGAACAAUGCUGAGGAACCAGCAUCCGCUCAGCAGCUCUCUCAGCCCCACCCAGCAGCACUCAGCAUCUCUGCAGUACUUCUUCCUCAAAGAUAGAGAGAGAGAGGGAGACGGAGCGGGAGAGCGAGUAGGAAGUGGGAAGUCACCUCCGUCACUCCAUUAUCAGCAUUCCACAUCUGCUGAGGAACAUUUUCAUUUAAACAUCUGAAUGUGAGUCAAACACGUCUCCGACAAGAUUUCUAAGCUAACUGACAUCAUUAUCUGCCGUCUCAGCUCCAUAAUCGGCUGCCCUAAUGCAUUUUUUAAUUGUUUUCUUUCCCCAAUACGUGUUCCACACCUGAGUAGAGAAGGAAAAAAGUACCAUCUAUUAAAUGAACAUCUCGUCAUCUGCCUGACCAGCUAUUUCAGGUCUCUCCAUUAGCGAGACACAACGAAUCCAUCUGACGUCCAAACUGUCAUAUCCCCGAGCCUAUAAAGAUCCCUAUAACAUGCUCAACAAUCCAAAAAAUGGAGACAAUUGAUUUUCGCCUGCCAAGAAUGAUCGUAAUAAAGUUUUACAAGCAUGACGAAUCCCCGAGGUUAUGAUCUAUGCACAUUCUCAAAGGAAAAAGAUUUCUCUCUCUCCAUCGAAUUAUCUUUAGACAAAUGGUGGCGACAGUAUAAUUGGACAUUAGUCUUAAUUCGCAUGUUACAGGAGCUGAAUUGAAUGCUCGCUCCUCUUGGCUGGACACCAAGCUCUUUUUCUCCGCACGCCGCGUUCGGUUUUUCUAAUUGUGCUUGGUGAAAGGCGGCCAUCCUAAACUGAAGAGCAUAAUUUAACUGGCCUUAAUAAAGGAUUACUAUUCAGCGUAGAGCCUAUUAUUUUCCAGCUAGACUCCCGACCGGAGAUAAAUAGGAACGGUACUCUCACCUUUUUUUUCUUUCUCUCACUUGCUUCCACUUCUCUGGAAUCUUAAGUAAAUGUAUAAGUGCAUGCGGAAACGGAUUUAGCUACUUAAAGAAAAUGAGAGGGGACCGAAGCAAAAAAGGACGCCUCGACUUUAUUCAGACGUACUGAGGAGCCUAUUAUGGCUUAUAUGUUUUUUUAAUGGGAAAAACCAUAGUUGAUCCGAGCUAAUUUCCCUUGUGCAGCUUGGGCUCUGAAAGUAAUCCAUCACCUCAGUAUGAGGUGGUGGCGGCGAGAAGCCACGUCUCUAAUGAAGCUCUCCUUCAGAGGGCUAAAGAAUCGCGCUGUCAGUCUCCGCUCAAUGCCACCCCCGACACAAUGGCCUCCCGAUUGUUGCUUUCUCUUUGUAUGUGUUAACCCAAGCAGGGCCUUAUACAAAAUGAAUGGGCUGAUGUAACCUUAGCUUUGACGGUCCCCUGCCAUCCCGAAACACCUGUCAGUCACGCUUUUGUUGUCGGCGCAGGUGAGUUUGACGUUGCGCGCCGUACAUAUUUCUGAAUCUUGCGGUUUGUGUUACGUCGUGCCAGGCGCUCCGUGACCAAGGAGGGUUUUCAGCUAGAUUUUGUUGUUGUUUUUGUUGUAGAGUCCUCCGCCCUCUGGACUGAAAGGAAAUAAGAGUGCUUCUUUCAGAGAGAAGGGGGCACAAUCCAGUCGUUCGUGUCUUCCAAGGAAGGUAGAACUAAAUGCACUCAGCUGUCCUUUUUCAAAUGUCACUAUCAAAGGUCUAGGAUGUGUGUGUGUGUGGAGAGGUUUUUAGCAGAAUGAUGUGCAAGCUAUAAGAAAAGGCCAGCUCGCUGCACCUUUCCUGCCUCGCCUUUGCUGUCGCUCUCUCUUCCGUGCAUUGAUCUGUCACUUAAAACUGAUCACUUCAUUAUCUCCCGAACGGCGAGUGUUACAUGGGAGUCGUGAGCAUGCUUAACCGAGUGCUUUCUUGUUUAUGACAGGCUUUUACACCCAAGGGUAAUGGCCUCGGUGGCUAAUGGUAAUUCAUGGAACGCAGGACUGAUGGGAAUGGAGUUUAAUGCUUGGAAACACUAAGUGUCCUAACUGUGGGACGAGUUUUGAACAGAAUGUUUGGUUUUAAAUGAUUUUGGACCAAUGAGAUUUUGUGGGCGGGGUUAUGCAGCACCGGCGCUCAGAUUUACAUGGUUGCACUAAAUAAAAUUAAAUAAAAUUGCAUAAAAUAGUAGAGUCAGUAGAGAUAGUAGUAGAGAAUAGUAGAAUUAAAAUUAUGUGUGGGGUCAAAAAUUAACAGCAAAUGCAAAAAAAGCUAAAUGCUUUAGCGCUUUAGCAAAUUUUUCAAAUCUAAUUUAAAUGACCGACUCUCAUGCCUUCAAACUACUUUGACUAGGUGGAAAAUUUCUUGCAUUUAGCUAAGCAUUAACAAAC
Molecule: long non-coding RNA, 2527 nt
Organism: Cyprinus carpio carpio
Lineage: Eukaryota; Metazoa; Chordata; Actinopteri; Cypriniformes; Cyprinidae
Source: Ensembl